Cyprinus carpio carpio is the source of this 2861-nucleotide long non-coding RNA. Lineage: Eukaryota; Metazoa; Chordata; Actinopteri; Cypriniformes; Cyprinidae. The record is from Ensembl.
GCUAACAUGGAAAUGGGCCAAGUGACCGAGCGAUUAAUUGAAGAAGUGAGGAAAUACAGCCAUCUGUAUGACUCCUCUUCAGGAGAUUACAAAGAUUGCCAGAUGGCAGCGAAUUCGUGGACUAUAAACACAGUGGAACCCGCUCGCGUCAACUAGCGUUUCGGCGGUGUAAGUGCAGAGCAAAACAGACAUACGCAGAAGUAUAAAUGCUCACGAUGGCGUCGCCUACGUGCGUAGCCUACGACGUACACUUCGGCGUACACUCGACGCAGAAGUAUAAAUUGGCCUUAAGCCCAAGCUUUUUUGCCUUUCCAACAUUUUGUUAAUUGGACUUUUACAGUGUACAUCCUACGUCAUCCUCUGGAAUGCCACUCUCUCGUGAACAUAAGUAUGACACUUGGCAAAAGCUACAGAUUACGGUUUUUAAAGUUUUAAAUAUGGAUAUUAUUCUUACACAAAUGCAUCGAUUCGCUUCAGCAGUCCUUUAUUAACCCACAGGAGCUGUGCGGAGCACUUUUAAUGAUGGAUGGACACAGUUUAUUGGACUUCAUAUUGACUAAUGGAAAAUAACACCCAUUCACUGCUGUUAUAAAGCUUGGAAGAGCCAGGACAUUUUAUAAUAUAACUCUGAUUGUAUUCGUCUGAAAGAAGAAAGUCAUAUAUAGCUAGGAUGGCAUGAGGUUCCCUCAUCCAGAUCAAUGCUGCUGUUUCCAUCCAUCAGUGGAUCUCCAUUCAGAGUCCAGCUGUAGAGGAGCUGAUCCCCCUCAGAGGAGCAGGACACCCUCAUCACCCCCACUGGAGGAGCAGAUGAUUGACACUUCCACUGAGCCAAUAGGAGCUGGAGGGAGGGGCACAUGACAGUCACAUGACAAACACAGAAGAAUCUUGUUCUUCCACACUACUCAUACUAUUACUGGAGUCUGUAGUGUGUUUACUGUGUGCUACAGGAAUAAACCUUCCCAGAGAUUCAACUGAUUGAUCUGCAUGAGAGUGAGAUCUUUGAGACUGGAAUGAGUCUGAUGAGAGAGUACCUUCAACAAUCACUUGAAGAUCUCUAGAUGUUUCUGUGCCGUCUGAGUGAAAGAGUAGUAAUCUGUAAUUCCCAGAAUCUUCUCUGAUCACACGGUUUAAUAUCACAGUCGCAUUAAUGAUAUUCACUUCAAUUCUGUUAUUAUAAAGAUCACAUUCCUUUUUCCUGCCAUAUUUUACUCUACAAAUUGGAUCAUCUUGUGUGUUGUUUAUUCUCUUUAUUAUCUUCAGGUCAUAUUCUCGAGCGUCCCGCUCCAUCAGCAGAUUGAGUUUGUGUUCCAGAGCUGCGUAACAGGGAUCAGAUUGAUUAAAACUGCAUCUUACUUCCAGACCUGAGGAACAAAACACACACACACACACAUGAAAUGUACCAAAACCUACAGACUUCAUGAACUAAAAUCAGGAACAAAUACGGUGAAUUUGGACCGAUCAGACACACAACUAUUUGUUAUAUUUAACAAAUAAUAUCUAACGCCUCCUCAUCUAAUCAAAGGGUCUAUGGACACCUUCCCCCAAAAUGCAACUAUUACCUCAAAAAAUGGCAGAACAGGCCUCUGGUUCCAUAGCAACCAAAGGCACACUAUCUGAUAACACUAGGUUUAUGACGCCCAGGAAUGUGGCUAAGCAACUCUUAACUCAAGUCUCUCAAAAUCAGACACAUAAAAAGGGACUCUUCUCUAAUUAAUUGAUAGAAAAACCUUUCUUUGAAUUAAUUCACAUAUAAUUUAGGGCAUUGUGUACGCUGUUACUGUUCUUGUAUAUUGUGUUUUAUGUAUUGUAUAUGUUGUAUACAUGCCUAUGAUGGAUCACUAGUUAAUAUAACCUCAUCUAUAUGAUUUUUGAUAUCUAUGAGUUCGUAUUUUCAUGAUCUAAAUGAGAGUGUAUAUUAUAUGUUGAUGCCUAUGCAACACAUUAGUUUUAUAAGAAUCUUAAAGAUUAUUCUCUUGAACCCCCCAAUCUAAUUUCAUGGAAGACACCAUGCUAGGAACAGAGAGUUGUAAAAACUUCCCUCCAAAAGGUACCAUUCCUCAUUAGCUCACUCAAAUCUUGAGGGUGUGACAUCAUCCCCAUAUAUAGAUCACUGAUCACCAGAUCAGGGCGGUUCUUUUAGAUUCAGGAAUUCCAGGAGAAGAUGCUGAGCUAAGAGCCUUAAAAACCACGCUAAGCUUGCGCCAGGCCGUCGGCCUUGACUUUCCAUUCAUCAAUAUCCUCUGAUUCGAACUGGUCUUUUCAUCAACUCACUUCAGCAGAGACCAACUGGAGCCCCAAAGUGCAUCAGGACUCUUUUUCAAACAGGCGAGACGUGCAGUAUCAAACUUAGUCUUAUUAAUUGAUACAUUAAGUAUCAUAUGCACCUUUUACAAAGGUGUGUUUGAACUAAGAAACUGAUGUUUCCUUCAGGCUGUAGAUCUGCUGAAUAUCAAAUUGUAUCAUAGCUUCAUGUCUUUAUAUCUCAUCUCUUUACUGCUUAAGCUUUAACUCCUUUUCCUAUGCCAACUGUGUGUGUGUGUGUGUGUGUGUGUGUGUGUGUGUGUGUGUGUGUGUGUGUGUGUGUGUGUGUGUGUGUGUGUGUUAGACUAGUUUAAGUGUUUAUGUAGUUAAUAAAGUCUUAUUUGUAUCACACCUGAGGUUGUUCAUUGUUUGCUCAUAACUGAAGUCCCUAAUCAUGCAGAUUUUUUUGCUACAUGCUCUGAGUAGUAUUGUACAGUAAGAAAGUUAUUUUCCUUAAACAGGAAAGUAGCGUUCUUAGAAUUGACAGACAGUUGACACUGAGAGGUCAAGUAAAUACUUACAGUGGAUCUAAAUAUUUAUAAUUAAUCAUAACUAGUCAU